RNAcentral lists this ribosomal RNA (253 nucleotides) under uncultured bacterium. RNAcentral describes it as "partial 16S ribosomal RNA". It matches the Rfam family "Bacterial small subunit ribosomal RNA", at positions 524 to 776 of the family's 1533-position model. The record is from RNAcentral.
UACGUAGGGGGCAAGCGUUAUCCGGGUUUACUGGGUGUAAAGGGGGCGCAGACGGCGAUGCAAGCCAGGAGUGAAAGCCCGGGGCCCAACCCCGGGACUGCUCUUGGAACUGCGUGGCUGGAGUGCAGGAGGGGCAGGCGGAAUUCCUGGUGUAGCGGUGAAAUGCGUAGAUAUCAGGAGGAACACCGGUGGCGAAGGCGGCCUGCUGGACUGCAACUGACGUUGAGGCCCGAAAGCGUGGGGAGCAAACAGG